AGUGAACGCUGGCGGGAGGCCUAACACACGCAAGUCGAACGGCAGCACAGUAAGAGCUUGCUCUUACGGGUGGCGAGUGGCAGACGGGUGAGGAAUACAUCGGAAUCUACUUUUUCGUGGGGGACAACGUAGGGAAACUUACGCUAAUACCGCAUACGACAUACGGGUGAAAGCAGGGGAUCUUCGGACCUUGCGCGAUUGAAUGAGCCGAUGUUGGAUUAGCUAGUUGGCGGGGUAAAGGCCCACCAAGGCGACGAUCCGUAGCUGGUCUGAGAGGAUGAUCAGCCACACUGGAACUGGGACACGGUCCAGACUCCUACGGGAGGCAGCAGUGGGGAAUAUUGGACAAUGGGCGCAAGCCUGAUCCAGCCAUACCGCGUGGGUGAAGAAGGCCUUCGGGUUGUAAAGCCCUUUUGUUGGGAAAGAAAAGCAGCAGGUUAAUACCCCGCUGUUCUGACGGUACCCAAAGAAUAAGCACCGGCUAACUUCGUG
Molecule: ribosomal RNA, 492 nt
Filed under: uncultured bacterium
Lineage: Bacteria
Description: partial 16S ribosomal RNA
Rfam family: Bacterial small subunit ribosomal RNA
Source: RNAcentral